AUCAAACGCCUGAUGCACUAGUUG
RNAcentral lists this non-coding RNA (24 nucleotides) under Arabidopsis thaliana (thale cress). Lineage: Eukaryota; Viridiplantae; Streptophyta; Magnoliopsida; Brassicales; Brassicaceae. The record is from RNAcentral.